This 73-nucleotide transfer RNA is filed under the name Yarrowia lipolytica. RNAcentral's name for it is "tRNA-Thr". It matches the Rfam family "tRNA". From Rfam's summary of the family: Transfer RNA (tRNA) molecules are approximately 80 nucleotides in length. Their secondary structure includes four short double-helical elements and three loops (D, anti-codon, and T loops). Lineage: Eukaryota; Fungi; Ascomycota; Dipodascomycetes; Dipodascales. RNAcentral also lists the same sequence under 4 other names. The record is from RNAcentral.
GCCUGUUUGGCCAAGUGGCUAAGGCGUCUCACUCGUAAUGAGAAGAGCACCAGUUCGACUCUGGUAAUAGGCA